CCUACGGGAGGCUGCAGUGGGGAAUAUUGGACAAUGGGGGGAACCCUGAUCCAGCCAUGCCGCGUGUGUGAAGAAGGCCCUCGGGUUGUAAAGCACUUUCAGUGAGGAAGAACGCCUGGUGGUUAAUACCCAUCAGGAAAGACAUCACUCACAGAAGAAGCACCGGCUAACUCCGUGCCAGCAGCCGCGGUAAUACGGAGGGUGCGAGCGUUAAUCGGAAUUACUGGGCGUAAAGCGCGCGUAGGUGGCUUGAUAAGCCGGUUGUGAAAGCCCCGGGCUCAACCUGGGAACGGCAUUCGGAACUGUCAAGCUAGAGUGCAGGAGAGGAAGGUAGAAUUCCCGGUGUAGCGGUGAAAUGCGUAGAGAUCGGGAGGAGUACCAGUGGCGAAGGCGGCCUUCUGGACUGACACUGACACUGAGGUGCGAAAGCGUGGGUAGCAAACAGGAUUAGAUACCCUAGUAGUC
Molecule: ribosomal RNA, 465 nt
Filed under: Vreelandella stevensii
Lineage: Bacteria; Pseudomonadati; Pseudomonadota; Gammaproteobacteria; Oceanospirillales; Halomonadaceae
Description: partial 16S ribosomal RNA
Rfam family: Bacterial small subunit ribosomal RNA
Source: RNAcentral